GUGCUUGGUUCUGCAGCACAUAUACUAAAAUUGGAACGAGACCCAGAUGCACGCAUAGCCCCGUGCAAGAAUGAUAUGCAUGCACGUGAAGCAGUCUACAUUCUU
This is a small nuclear RNA of Arvicanthis niloticus (Nile rat), 105 nucleotides long. The record is from RefSeq and is a predicted model, not a curated record. NCBI's taxonomy places the organism in Eukaryota, Metazoa, Chordata, Mammalia, Rodentia, Muridae.